UGGGGAAUAUUGGACAAUGGGGGGAACCCUGAUCCAGCCAUGCCGCGUGUGUGAAGAAGGCCUUAUGGUUGUAAAGCACUUUAAGCGAGGAGGAGGGUACUGGUAUUAAUACUACCAGCUACUGGACGUUACUCGCAGAAUAAGUACCGGCUAACUCUGCGCCAGCAGCCGCGGUAAUACAGAGGGUGCGAGCGUUAAUCGGAUUUACUGGGUGGAAAGCGUGCGUAGGCGGCUAAUUGAGUCGGAUGUGAAAUCCCCGAGCUUAACUAGGGAAUUGCAUUCGAUACUGGUUAGCUGGAGUGUGGGAGAGGAUGGUAGAAGUCCAGGUGUAGCAGUGAAAUGCGUAGAGAUCUGGAGGAAUACCGAUGGCGAAGGCAGCCAUCUGGCCUAACACUGACGCUGAGGUACGAAAGCAUGGGGAGCAAACAGG
This 430-nucleotide ribosomal RNA is filed under the name Pseudomonadota bacterium. Its description in RNAcentral is "Proteobacteria bacterium partial 16S ribosomal RNA". It matches the Rfam family "Bacterial small subunit ribosomal RNA", at positions 355 to 776 of the family's 1533-position model. Lineage: Bacteria; Pseudomonadati; Pseudomonadota. The record is from RNAcentral.